This 535-nucleotide unclassified non-coding RNA is filed under the name Hevea brasiliensis (rubber tree). Lineage: Eukaryota; Viridiplantae; Streptophyta; Magnoliopsida; Malpighiales; Euphorbiaceae. The record is from RNAcentral.
CAAUUUGCUUAAACCAUAAUGGAAGCAAAAAUUUUCCGCUUUCUAAAGAUAGUGGGUGUUGGAUACAAAGCCAGAGCUGAAGCAGAAGGGCGCCUCUUAUAUCUCAAAUUGGGAUACAGUCAUGAGGUUGAACUUACAGUGCCUCCUGCUGUUCGUGUUUUCUGCUUCAAGAACAACGUAGUUUGUUGCACUGGAAUUGACAAGCAAAGAGUGCAUCAGUUUGCUGCUUCUGUUCGUAGUUGCAAACCUCCUGAAGUUUACAAAGGUAAGGGUAUCAUGUACAUCGAUGAAGUGAUCAAGAAGAAACAAGGAAAGAAAUCAAAAUGAUGGGGGCAAUUCUGCACGAUGCCGAUAGCAAAGUGUUUUGCCUAAUUCCAUGCGUUGGACUUACAAUGUCUUGUUUUGUCAAAAAAGUUCAAUUUCUGGGAUUCAAACAUUGGAAUUUUGUGAUUUAGAAGGCAUUUAAAUUAGCAAUAAGUUUUUGCAAUAGUGUUUUGGUUGUUCUAUGUGAGAUUUUUUGCUUUUUGUUCAAGGC